AAGGGUGUAGCUCAGUGGUAGAGUGCCUGCUUAGCAUGCAGAAGGCCCUGGGUUCAAUCCCCAGUACCUCCU
Molecule: transfer RNA, 72 nt
Filed under: Camelus bactrianus (Bactrian camel)
Lineage: Eukaryota; Metazoa; Chordata; Mammalia; Artiodactyla; Camelidae
Also listed under: 1 other name
Rfam family: tRNA
About the family: Transfer RNA (tRNA) molecules are approximately 80 nucleotides in length. Their secondary structure includes four short double-helical elements and three loops (D, anti-codon, and T loops). Further hydrogen bonds mediate the characteristic L-shaped molecular structure. tRNAs have two regions of fundamental functional importance: the anti-codon, which is responsible for specific mRNA codon recognition, and the 3' end, to which the tRNAs corresponding amino acid is attached (by aminoacyl-tRNA synthetases). tRNAs cope with the degeneracy of the genetic code in two manners: having more than one tRNA (with a specific anti-codon) for a particular amino acid; and 'wobble' base-pairing, i.e. permitting non-standard base-pairing at the 3rd anti-codon position.
Source: Rfam by way of RNAcentral